GGUCAAAGUAAUAAGAGUCUAUGGUGAAUGCCUAGGA
Molecule: ribosomal RNA, 37 nt
Filed under: Borreliella afzelii
Lineage: Bacteria; Pseudomonadati; Spirochaetota; Spirochaetia; Spirochaetales; Borreliaceae
Description: partial 23S ribosomal RNA
Source: RNAcentral